RNAcentral lists this ribosomal RNA (453 nucleotides) under uncultured bacterium. RNAcentral describes it as "partial 16S ribosomal RNA". It matches the Rfam family "Bacterial small subunit ribosomal RNA", at positions 28 to 507 of the family's 1533-position model. The record is from RNAcentral.
GAUGAACGCCGACAGAAUGCUUAACACAUGCAAGUCAACUUGAACUUCGGUUUGGGUGGCGGACGGGUGAGUAACGCGUAAAGAACUUGCCUCACAGAUAGGGACAACAUUUGGAAACGAAUGCUAAUACCUGAUAUUAUGAUUUUAGGGCAUCCUAGGAUUAUGAAAGCUAUAUGCGCUGUGAGAGAGCUUUGCGUCCCAUUAGCUAGUUGGAGAGGUAACGGCUCACCAAGGCGAUGAUGGGUAGCCGGCCUGAGAGGGUGAUCGGCCACAAGGGGACUGAGACACGGCCCUUACUCCUACGGGAGGCAGCAGUGGGGAAUAUUGGACAAUGGACCAAGAGUCUGAUCCAGCAAUGCUGUGUGCACGAUGAAGUUUUUCGGAAUGUAAAGUGCUUUCAGUUGGGAAGAAAAAAUGACGGUACCAACAGAAGAAGAGACGGCUAAAUACGUG